This is a microRNA precursor of Sorghum bicolor (sorghum), 110 nucleotides long. It matches the Rfam family "MIR5565 microRNA precursor family". The record is from Rfam. Lineage: Eukaryota; Viridiplantae; Streptophyta; Magnoliopsida; Poales; Poaceae.
GUAGUCGGAUUCGCAUCAAUUCAUAUGUGUUGGGGUGGAUUGGAGUAGAUCUUGAACUAAAUUCCACCCCCAAUCCACUCUAACACAUAUGGAUUGAGAUAAAUCCAACA